GAUCUUGGUCAGGACGAACGCUGGCGGCACGCUUAACACAUGCAAGUCGAACGGAGUAAUUGAGCUUGCUUAAUAACUUAGUGGCGGACGGGUGAGUAACACGUGAGCAAUCUGCCUUUCAGAGGGGGAUAGCAGUUGGAAACGACUGAUAAUACCGCAUAACAUAGCGGGACCGCAUGAUCCUGUUAUCAAAGAUUUAUCGCUGAAAGAUGAGCUCGCGUCUGAUUAGAUAGUUGGUGAGGUAACGGCCCACCAAGUCGACGAUCAGUAGCCGGACUGAGAGGUUGAACGGCCACAUUGGGACUGAGACACGGCCCAGACUCCUACGGGAGGCAGCAGUGGGGAAUAUUGCACAAUGGAGGAAACUCUGAUGCCAGCGAUGCCGCGUGAGGGAAGAAGGUUUUCGGAUUGUAAACCUCUGUCUUAUGGGACGAUAAUGACGGUACCAUAGGAGGAAGCUCCGGCUAACUACGUGCCAGCCGCUGC
Molecule: ribosomal RNA, 486 nt
Filed under: uncultured bacterium
Lineage: Bacteria
Description: bacterial SSU rRNA
Rfam family: Bacterial small subunit ribosomal RNA
Source: RNAcentral